CAACGCCGCGUGGAGGAUGAAGCCCCUUGGGGCGUAAACUCCUUUCGACCAAGACGAUAAUGACCGGUACUGGUGGAACGAAGCACCGGCUAACUCUGUGC
This 101-nucleotide ribosomal RNA is filed under the name uncultured bacterium. Its description in RNAcentral is "partial 16S ribosomal RNA". It matches the Rfam family "Bacterial small subunit ribosomal RNA", at positions 392 to 508 of the family's 1533-position model. The record is from RNAcentral.